Molecule: long non-coding RNA, 451 nt
Filed under: Zonotrichia albicollis (white-throated sparrow)
Lineage: Eukaryota; Metazoa; Chordata; Aves; Passeriformes; Passerellidae
Description: lncRNA (ENSZALG00000001215.1)
Source: RNAcentral
UUCCAGAAUUUACCUGAAUCUGCCCACUGCUCUCCAUUUUUCUUGAAGGAGGACUACUUUGCAGAUGUCUGCAGUAUUUCUGGAAACAAACACGAGAGAAGACAAAGAACAAGGAUUCUUAUCCGAGGCAGAUAAUUCAGGAAAAUAAGACUGCAUCUGACGAGAAAGUGGACUGAUGAUGGGACCAGUGCUCCAGUUCUCAAACCGUCUUGAAGAGAGAAACAAUUUACCAGUGGUGGUCCAGCAGAGAGGCAGCAGUGAUAGCUCCAAAACAAGGAAAAAAGACUCUGGGUUCAUUAACAAACUGUUCAGGUACCUCUGUUGCUAUUAUACCUAAUCACAUCUGCCUCUCCAUGUUUUAGUCUUCCUCUCUGCCAGUAAAAUAACUUGUGAAAACAUCUUUCUGUUUUCAUCUGAAGUGAUCUGUGCCUGUCUACUUCCCACAUUUUCC